Molecule: ribosomal RNA, 459 nt
Filed under: uncultured bacterium
Lineage: Bacteria
Description: SSU rRNA
Rfam family: Bacterial small subunit ribosomal RNA
Source: RNAcentral
AGAGCGAACGCUGGCGGCAGGCCUAAUACAUGCAAGUCGAACGCACCUUCGGGUGAGUGGCGGACGGGUGAGUAACACGUGGGAACGUGCCUUUUGGUUCGGAAUAAUCCGGGGAAACCUGGCCUAAUACCGGAUGUGCCCCCUCCUUUAACCAGGGGGGUGGGAAAGAUUUAUCGCCAAUAGAGCGGCCCGCGUCUGAUUAGCUAGUUGGUGGGGUAAAGGCCCACCAAGGCGACGAUCAGUAGCUGGUCUGAGAGGAUGAUCAGCCACACUGGGACUGAGACACGGCCCAGACUCCUACGGGAGGCAGCAGUAGGGAAUCUUGCGCAAUGGGCGAAAGCCUGACGCAGCCAUGCCGCGUGAAUGAUGAAGGUCUUAGGAUUGUAAAAUUCUUUCAGCGGGGAAGAUAAUGACUGUACCCGCAGAAGAAGCUCCGGCUAACUUCGUGCCAGCAGCCGC